This 529-nucleotide ribosomal RNA is filed under the name uncultured OM43 clade bacterium. Its description in RNAcentral is "bacterial SSU rRNA". It matches the Rfam family "Bacterial small subunit ribosomal RNA", at positions 1 to 527 of the family's 1533-position model. The record is from RNAcentral. Lineage: Bacteria; Pseudomonadati; Pseudomonadota; Betaproteobacteria; Nitrosomonadales.
UAGGGUUUGAUUCUGGCUCAGAUUGAACGCUGGCGGAUGCUUUACACAUGCAAGUCGAACGGCAGCAUGGAGAGCUUGCUCUCUAUGGCGAGUGGCGAACGGGUGAGUAAUAUAUCGGAACGUGCCUAGUAAUGGGGAAUAACUAGCUGAAAGGUUAGCUAAUGCCGCAUACGACCUACGGGUGAAAGCAGGGGAUCUUCGGACCUUGCGUUAUUAGAGCGGCCGAUAUCUGAUUAGCUUGUUGGUGGGUAAUGGCCUACCAAGGCGACGAUCAGUAGCUGGUCUGAGAGGACGAUCAGCCACACUGGAACUGAGACACGGUCCAGACUCCUACGGGAGGCAGCAGUGGGGAAUUUUGGACAAUGGGGGAAACCCUGAUCCAGCCAUUCCGCGUGAGUGAAGAAGGCCUUCGGGUUGUAAAGCUCUUUCGCAAGAGAAGAAAACUUGCUAUCUAAUAAAUAGUAAGCAUGACGGUAUCUUUGACAAGAAAGCACCGGCUAACUACGUGCCAGCAGCCCGCGGUAAUACA